AACGAACGCUGGCGGCAGGCUUAACACAUGCAAGUCGAACGGGCGUAGCAAUACGUCAGUGGCAGACGGGUGAGUAACACGUGGGAAUAUCCCUCUCAGUUCGGAAUAACUCAGGGAAACUUGAGCUAAUACCGGAUACGUCCUUCGGGAGAAAGAUUUAUCGCUGAGAGAUUAGCCCGCGUCUGAUUAGCUAGUUGGUGAGGUAAUGGCUCACCAAGGCGACGAUCAGUAGCUGGUCGGAGAGGAUGGUCAGCCACACUGGGACUGAGACACGGCCCAGACUCCUACGGGAGGCAGCAGUGGGGAAUAUUGGACAAUGGGGGCAACCCUGAUCCAGCCAUGCCGCGUGAGUGAUGAAGGCCUUAGGGUUGUAAAGCUCUUUUGCCAGGGAAGAUAAUGACUGUACCUGGAGAAUAAGCCCCGGCUAACUUCGUGCCAGCCGCCGCGGUAA
Molecule: ribosomal RNA, 451 nt
Filed under: uncultured bacterium
Lineage: Bacteria
Description: partial 16S ribosomal RNA
Rfam family: Bacterial small subunit ribosomal RNA
Source: RNAcentral